GGAUGAACGCUGGCGGCGUGCCUAAUACAUGCAAGUCGAGCGAACAGAUAAGGAGCUUGCUCCUUUGACGUUAGCGGCGGACGGGUGAGUAACACGUGGGUAACCUACCUAUAAGACUGGGAUAACUUCGGGAAACCGGAGCCAAUACCGGAUAAUAUUUCGAACCGCAUGGUUCGAUAGUGGAAGAUGGUUUUGCUAUCACUUAUAGAUGGACCCGCGCCGUAUUAGCUAGUUGGUAAGGUAACGGCUUACCAAGGCGACGAUACGUAGCCGACCUGAGAGGGUGAUCGGCCACACUGGAACUGAGACACGGUCCAGACUCCUACGGGAGGCAGCAGUAGGGAAUCUUCCGCAAUGGGCGAAAGCCUGACGGAGCAACGCCGCGUGAGUGAUGAAGGUCUUCGGAUCGUAAAACUCUGUUAUUAGGGAAGAACAUACGUGUAAGUAACUGUGCACGUCUUGACGGUACCUAAUCAGAAAGCCACGGCUAACUACGUG
This 498-nucleotide ribosomal RNA is filed under the name uncultured bacterium. RNAcentral describes it as "partial 16S ribosomal RNA". It matches the Rfam family "Bacterial small subunit ribosomal RNA", at positions 27 to 507 of the family's 1533-position model. The record is from RNAcentral.